CCUACGGGGGGCUGCAGUGGGGAAUCUUGGACAAUGGGCGCAAGCCUGAUCCAGCCAUGCCGCGUGAGUGAAGAAGGCCUUAGGGUUGUAAAGCUCUUUUGCCAGGGACGAUAAUGACGGUACCUGGAGAAUAAGCCCCGGCAAACUUCGUGCCAGCAGCCGCGGUAAUACGAAGGGGGCUAGCGUUGUUCGGAAUUACUGGGCGUAAAGCGCACGUAGGCGGGUCGUUAAGUCAGGGGUGAAAUCCCGGAGCUCAACUCCGGAACUGCCCUUGAUACUGGCGAUCUAGAGGUCGGAAGAGGUUAGUGGAAUUCCCAGUGUAGAGGUGAAAUUCGUAGAUAUUGGGAAGAACACCAGUGGCGAAGGCGGCUAACUGGUCCGAUACUGACGCUGAGGUGCGAAAGCGUGGGGAGCAAACAGGAUUAGAUACCCCUGUAGUC
Molecule: ribosomal RNA, 440 nt
Filed under: uncultured bacterium
Lineage: Bacteria
Description: partial 16S ribosomal RNA
Rfam family: Bacterial small subunit ribosomal RNA
Source: RNAcentral